This 243-nucleotide ribosomal RNA is filed under the name uncultured bacterium. RNAcentral's name for it is "partial 16S ribosomal RNA". It matches the Rfam family "Bacterial small subunit ribosomal RNA", at positions 111 to 354 of the family's 1533-position model. The record is from RNAcentral.
UAACGCGUGAGGAACCUGCCUUCCAGAGGGGGACAACAGUUGGAAACGACUGCUAAUACCGCAUGAUGCAUUGAAGUCGCAUGGCUUUGAUGUCAAAGAUUUAUCGCUGGAAGAUGGCCUCGCGUCUGAUUAGCUAGUUGGUGAGGUAACGGCCCACCAAGGCGACGAUCAGUAGCCGGACUGAGAGGUUGGCCGGCCACAUUGGGACUGAGAUACGGCCCAGACUCCUACGGGAGGCAGCAG